RNAcentral lists this ribosomal RNA (691 nucleotides) under uncultured bacterium. RNAcentral's name for it is "bacterial SSU rRNA". It matches the Rfam family "Bacterial small subunit ribosomal RNA", at positions 32 to 715 of the family's 1533-position model. The record is from RNAcentral.
AACGCUAGCUACAGGCUUAACACAUGCAAGUCGAGGGGCAGUAUUGGAGUAGCAAUACUUCAGAUGGCGACCGGCGCACGGGUGAGUAACACGUAUCCAACCUGCCGCUUACUCGGGGAUAGCCUUUCGAAAGAAAGAUUAAUACCCGAUGGUAUAAAGAGUUCGCAUGUUCUCUUUAUUAAAGAAUUUCGGUAAGCGAUGGGGAUGCGUUCCAUUAGAUAGUUGGCGGGGUAAUGGCCCACCAAGUCUACGAUGGAUAGGGGUUCUGAGAGGAAGGUCCCCCACAUUGGAACUGAGACACGGUCCAAACUCCUACGGGAGGCAGCAGUGAGGAAUAUUGGUCAAUGGACGAGAGUCUGAACCAGCCAAGUAGCGUGAAGGAUGACUGCCCUAUGGGUUGUAAACUUCUUUUAUAAGGGAAUAAAGUGAGGGACGUGUCCCUUUUUGUAUGUACCUUAUGAAUAAGGAUCGGCUAACUCCGUGCCAGCAGCCGCGGUAAUACGGAGGAUCCAAGCGUUAUCCGGAUUUAUUGGGUUUAAAGGGAGCGUAGGUUGACAUAUAAGUCAGCUGUGAAAGUUUACGGCUCAACCGUGAAAUUGCAGUUGAUACUGUAUGUCUUGAGUGUACAAGAGGUGGGCGGAAUUCGUGGUGUAGCGGUGAAAUGCUUAGAUAUCACGAAGAACUCCGAUUG